CGGGAUGUUGAGCGUUUUAUUGCUCGAUGCACUACAUGUCAAAAAGCUAAGUCACGACUCAAUCCUCAUGGUUUAUAUAUGCCUUUGCCUGUACCUAAUGUUCCUUGGGAGGAUAUAUCUAUGGACUUUGUUUUAGGUUUACCUCGAACAAAGAAGGGGAGGGAUAGCAUAUUUGUUGUCGUGGAUAGAUUCUCGAAAAUGGCACACUUUAUACCAUGUCAUGAAAGCGAUGAUGCUGUUAAUGUUGCUGAUUUGUUCUUUCGUGAAAUUAUUCGCUUGCAUGGUGUGCCAAAUACUAUUGUUUCAGAUCGUGAUACUAAAUUUCUUAGCCACUUUUGGAGAUGUUUAUGGGCUAAGUUGGGGACUAAACUACUUUUCAGUACUACUUGUCACCCCCAAACUGAUGGACAAACUGAAGUAGUCAAUAGAACGUUGUCUACUAUGCUUAGGGCUGUUUUGAAGAAUAAUAAGAAAAUGUGGGAGGAAUGCUUGCCUCAUAUUGAAUUUGCUUAUAAUCGUUCAUUGCAUUCUACUACUAAGAUGUGCCCUUUUGAAGUUGUGUAUGGUUUCCUACCUCGUGCACCUAUUGAUUUGUUGCCUCUUCCAUCUUCGGAGAAGGUUAAUUUUGAUGCUAAACAACGUGCUGAAUUGAUUUUAAAAAUGCAUGAGUUAACUAAGGAAAACAUUGAGCGUAUGAAUGCUAAAUAUAAACUUGCUGGAGAU
Molecule: ribosomal RNA, 723 nt
Filed under: Triticum aestivum (bread wheat)
Lineage: Eukaryota; Viridiplantae; Streptophyta; Magnoliopsida; Poales; Poaceae
Description: partial small subunit ribosomal RNA
Source: RNAcentral